AACGAACGCUGGCGGCAUGCCUAACACAUGCAAGUCGAACGAGAACUCCGGGUCUAGUGGCGCACGGCUGCGUAACGCGUGGGAACCUGCACUUAGGUUCGGAAUAACUCCCCGAAAGGGGUGCUAAUACCGGAUAAUGUCUUCGGACCAAAGAUUUAUCGCCUUUGGAUGGGCCCGCGUUGGAUUAGCUAGUUGGUAGGGUAAAAGCCUACCAAGGCGACGAUCCAUAGCUGGUCUGAGAGGAUGAUCAGCCACACUGGGACGGAGACACGGCCCAGACUCCUACGGGAGGCAGCAGUGGGGAAUAUUGGACAAUGGGCGAAAGCCUGAUCCAGCAAUGCCGCGUGAGUGAUGAAGGCCUUAGGGUUGUAAAGCGCUUUUACCCGGGAUGAUAAUGACAGUACCGGGAGAAUAAGCUCCGGCUAACUCCGUG
RNAcentral lists this ribosomal RNA (433 nucleotides) under uncultured bacterium. RNAcentral's name for it is "partial 16S ribosomal RNA". It matches the Rfam family "Bacterial small subunit ribosomal RNA", at positions 29 to 507 of the family's 1533-position model. The record is from RNAcentral.